Molecule: transfer RNA, 83 nt
Filed under: Gammaproteobacteria bacterium
Lineage: Bacteria; Pseudomonadati; Pseudomonadota; Gammaproteobacteria
Description: tRNA-Leu
Rfam family: tRNA
About the family: Transfer RNA (tRNA) molecules are approximately 80 nucleotides in length. Their secondary structure includes four short double-helical elements and three loops (D, anti-codon, and T loops).
Source: RNAcentral
GCCGGGAUGGCGGAAUGGUAGACGCAGGGGACUUAAAAUCCCCCAGGCUCAGGCCUGUGUGGGUUCGAAUCCCACUCCCGGCA